Molecule: long non-coding RNA, 2811 nt
Filed under: Malus domestica (apple)
Lineage: Eukaryota; Viridiplantae; Streptophyta; Magnoliopsida; Rosales; Rosaceae
Description: long non-coding RNA (MDOM_LNC010877)
Source: RNAcentral
AGGCAACAUAAGCCACAAGCUGAGCAGCCUCACAACAUGUGAUAGUUGAGCAUCAUUUCACUUUGAGCACCGUCCCAUAUCAAGUAUCAGUUCAAGACAACAUCUAGUUACUUCAGCCCACACAUGGACUGCAUUUCAAGUCUCCAACCAAAAAACUCUCUUGAUCGAAGACUUGGGGGACUACUGUUUAUACCAUACUUAGGGCCUCCGUAUUUAGACCUCGUAUAAAUACUCGGGAGACUCAAAUGUAAUUAUGUAAUAAAGGAAAUGGCAAAUAUGUAAAAAGGGGAGGAGCCCUUAUUCUAUAAAAGGGCGUCCUCACCCUCACAAACCCUAAGUCUCUCCUAUCUAGAGCUAAGCUCUGACAUUCUCUCCCUCAUAAUACUCUCAGAGAAAUACAAUCAGUGUGAACGUAGCCCAAACCUUGGGGUGAACCACGAUACAUCUUGUGUUAUUUACUUUCUUGUAGAUUCAUGGUCGGAUUUACGUUGUUCCAAGACCUCCGGUUUGUGCAUCAACACAUAUUAUUCUAACAUGUAAAAAUAAUUGUUUCUCUCUCUUAAAUAUCUAAUAUGUUAAAUGAUGAGCUAAACUAUUAGAUUGAUCUCUUUGAACAUACAAUCUAGCCAUGUAACAUGUUAAACUAAUUAUAACGAUGGAAUUAAAUCAUUCUAAAUUGAUCCUAUAAUUACAAUGUAAGAUGCUAAACCUUUGACAAUGAUGAAACAAAAAAUUUUCAUCUUGAAACUCUGUUAAGGCUAGCUUUCACAUGUCAUAACUAGUUAUCCACCACUAUCUUUUGAAUUUUGAAACUCCACAUUUUAACAUCUAAUAGGAAUUUUUACCACAUGCUAAAGUAGGGAUAAAAACACUUUAAAAUACUUGCAAUACUUGUAAGAGUACAAGGUUAUCGCAGUAUAGCAGCUCAAGCAAGGUUGUUUCCAUAGGGAUUGAUUGAAUAAUUUGUAUUUAAACUAAUUCUUAGUUAACUAUUUAAAACAAAUGUUGAUUUUAAUACCUCAGAUAUUAAAAACAAAUUUUAAAUUAAAACAAUUAAAGAAACUAAUUUGAAAGGGAACAAUCUUAGAAAAUAAUGAUAAAAGGACACGUUGCGCCAUCACUUUAACAAUCAUAUGUAGUUUUACCAAUUACUUAUGAAUUACAUAUGCAACUUUGAAGGUUAGGUUUUCCUUAUGCAUUCUACUUGUGGCAUUCAAGCUAGAACGUAUAUCAAACAUGCAAUCCGUUUAUGGCAUUCAUAUCAAAUAUAAACAUGUAUGACUCAUUACGUUUUGUGAAAACCCUUUGAAAAACCAUGCAACCCCUAAGAUGUGGCAUUCACCCUAGGUGAACUUACAACUAUCAAUCACAAGAAGCAAUACUCAAUCCUUCGGUGGCAUACUGAUCAAAUUGCAUCCGAUUACUUAUCUAAACAUCCUAAUGGUAGCUAAGCAUUAAGAUACAUAGACAGUUUAAACACAAUGAUUAAUAAUUCAAAGUAUGCAUGAAUAAUAUCAUAAGCAAUUAAAUAAAAACUACAUAUUCAUGCUAAGGCUCAAGGCAUCAUCCUAGCAAACGGAAAUUAGUUACGAACAAUCAUAAAACAAAAAGAAUUUUAUUGAAAUAGAAAAAGGAUAGAAAACACUUUGAAAUACAAAUCGUCAAAGCCUAGCUAAGUUCUCCAAAUUGAUGCAUCCCCCUUCUAAUGGCUAAAUAGCCUUCUUUAUACUACUAUAAAAUAAAAUCCUUCUUAGAAAAGGUCUUCUAAAAACUAGGAAACAUAAGAUAACUAGGAAAUAAAAGGUUUCCUAUUUAAACUGAAAUUUGGACUUAUCAAGAAUCAGACUUUUGACUGUCCAAAUCAACUCCGAUUUGGUUCUAAAAGGUCUAUUUUGAAAGCUGAAGACGUCCCCUACAAAUCCUUAAAAGGAAUCUUUCUCAAAAUAUACUAUCUUGACCUUCAAAAUACUCAAAACGUCCAGAAACGUCAAUCUGGGAAAGCUGCGCGCUGGGCCUUUAUUUCAUCGCCACGGUCAAACGCCUUUGUAGAAAAAUCUAGAAUUUUGAUACAAUCAUCUUGAAAGACUCAUGAAUAUCUUCUAAUUGGAAUCACUCCAAAAUUCAUCUGUUUCAUCAUUUUUUGCUCCAAAUGAAGUAGAAUGUCUUACAUUGAAAAUAUAUAUCAAAAUAUUAAAAUUUUACCAAAUAACCAAUAAACUAUAACUAAGAAUAGGAUAAAACAUAUGGUAUAAAUACUCAUCAACAUCAUUAUCAAUAUCAUAUGAUACAUUCUUGAGAACAAUGUUUUUUGAGGCCGACCUGUUUUUAUUAUAUGAAAACGUGGAUUGUGCUUGAUUUGACAUUGAUGGGUCAUUAGCCAAGUCCCAUCCUUUUAACAUUGGAAUGUUUAUAUAUUUAACUAUGAGAUUUAUUUUAUGCUAUAUAUAUGAUAUAUUUAUCUUAGCACCAAUCAUUAAGUAGGAGGGAAGGGAUAUUACCCGAACCACCACAAGGUCACCUAGGAAUUCCAAGCUCGUAUACUACAACACAUUUUAAUUUUGAUUUUUGGUACUAGUGAAUUACACAAUUGUGAUUAGAAGGAAGCUGAAACACUUAUGUAAGCCUUCCCAACCUUCGAAAAAGUUGAUUGUUGUGACAAAAUAACCAGAUGGCCCAUGUUUCAAGCUUUGUUUGCUUGUUGUGUUAGGUGUUAAUCAAGUAGUUAAAAUAAUCCAACUUGCAGAUUAGUGCAAAUAAUGGGAAGAAAUAUAUGAUACAAGAAAGUACAUACGUAGCAAUUUAGACACAUCU